RNAcentral lists this ribosomal RNA (484 nucleotides) under uncultured Mycobacterium sp. Its description in RNAcentral is "partial 16S ribosomal RNA". Lineage: Bacteria; Bacillati; Actinomycetota; Actinomycetes; Mycobacteriales; Mycobacteriaceae. The record is from RNAcentral.
CACGUAGUUGGCCGGUCCUUCUUCUGCACAUACCGUCACUUGCGCUUCGUCUGUGCUGAAAAGAGGUUUACAACCCGAAGGCCGUCAUCCCUCACGCGGCGUCGCUGCAUCAGGCUUGCGCCCAUUGUGCAAUAUUCCCCACUGCUGCCUCCCGUAGGAGUCUGGGCCGUAUCUCAGUCCCAGUGUGGCCGGUCACCCUCUCAGGCCGGCUACCCGUCGUCGCCUUGGUAGGCCAUUACCCCACCAACAAGCUGAUAGGCCGCGGGCCCAUCCCACACCGCAAAAGCUUUCCACCACCGACCAUGAAGCCGAUGAUCAUAUUCGGUAUUAGACCCAGUUUCCCAGGCUUAUCCCAAAGUGCAGGGCAGAUCACCCACGUGUUACUCACCCGUUCGCCACUCGAGUACCCCGAAGGGCCUUUCCGUUCGACUUGCAUGUGUUAAGCACGCCGCCAGCGUCGUCCUCGUGCACGGAGUCAAACUAC